CAAGUCCUUCUUGAACGGGGCCACUUACCCACAGAGGGUGCCAGGCCCGUAAGGCUGUCCACGGUCGUCGGCGAGCUUCUCCUUAGAGUCGGGUUGCUUUAGAGUGCAGCCCUAAGUAGGUGGUAAACUCCAUCUAAGGCUAAAUAUGACCACGAGACCGAUAGCGAACAAGUACCGUGAGGGAAAGUUGAAAAGGACUUUGAAGAGAGAGUUCAAUAGUACGUGAAACCGUUCAGGGGUAAACCUGCGAAACCCGAAAAGUUCGAACGGGGAUAUUCAACGCGUCCGGUCUGGCGGACGAGCCGGGUCGGCUCUCGACGGGCGUCCGUUCGCGGGCGCUCGCGGACGUCCCGGCCGUCCUGUCACCGGCGCGUGCACUUAUCCCCUUGUAGGACGUCGCGAUCCGUCGGGCGUCGGUCUACGGUCGGCGGUGGAGCCCGCGCGCGCCUCGGCGCGCGCGAACCCGUCGAUUCUCCGGCCGACUCGCUCGACGG
This 494-nucleotide ribosomal RNA is filed under the name Eusilpha japonica. Its description in RNAcentral is "partial 28S ribosomal RNA". It matches the Rfam family "Eukaryotic large subunit ribosomal RNA", at positions 182 to 495 of the family's 3401-position model. The record is from RNAcentral. Lineage: Eukaryota; Metazoa; Arthropoda; Insecta; Coleoptera; Silphidae.